GUCCGAUUAGCUAGUUGGUGAGGUAAUGGCUCACCAAGGCAAUGAUCGGUAGCUGGUCUGAGAGGAUGAUCAGCCACACUGGAACUGAGACACGGUCCAGACUCCUACGGGAGGCAGCAGUGGGGAAUCUUGCACAAUGGGCGAAAGCCUGAUGCAGCGACGCCGCGUGGGGGAUGAAGCUUCUCGGAGUGUAAACCCCUUUCGCCUGGGACGAAUGCCCGCAAGGGAGUGACGGUACCAGGAUAAGAAGCCCCGGCUAACUACGUGCCAGCAGCCGCGGUAAGACGUAGGGGGCCAGCGUUGUUCGGAAUUACUGGGUGUAAAGGGUUCGUAGGCGGUGUGGCAAGUUGGGAGUGAAAUCUCUGGGCUCAACCCAGAGGCUGCUUCCAAAACUGCUGUGCUUGAGUGUGGGAGAGGCUCGUGGAAUUGCAGGUGUAGCGGUGAAAUGCGUAGGUAUCUGCAGGAACACCCGUGGCGAAAGCGGCGAGCUGGAUCACUACUGACGCUGAGGAACGAAAGCUAGGGGAGCA
RNAcentral lists this ribosomal RNA (530 nucleotides) under uncultured bacterium. Its description in RNAcentral is "bacterial SSU rRNA". It matches the Rfam family "Bacterial small subunit ribosomal RNA", at positions 235 to 770 of the family's 1533-position model. The record is from RNAcentral.